CCUGCUCAAUGCAUCUAAAUAGCCGCGACAAGUGCUAAGGUAGCAUAAUAAUUAGCUUUCUAAUUAAAAGAUAGAAUGAAAGGAAACACGAUUUAUUAUUUCUUCCAGAACCUUAAAAUUAAUUUCCAUAAAUAUGUCACAAUUCAAUUAAAGCAUAAGCAGGACGACAAGACCCUGCCGAACUUAACUUCUAGUUUUACUGGGGUGGUAAAAAACAAAAUCUUUCAAUUUUCCUAAAUAUACGCAACCCUAAGAAUAAAAACAAGUUACCGCAGGGAUAACAGCAUAAUAAUUUAUUAAAGCCCUCAUAAUAUAAAUUGCUUAUGACCUCGAUGUUGAAUUAAUGCUCCCUAUUUUCAGAAAAAAGAAAAAAAGGAAGUCUGUUCGACUUAUAACCCAUUACAU
RNAcentral lists this ribosomal RNA (405 nucleotides) under Speocera capra. Its description in RNAcentral is "partial large subunit ribosomal RNA". The record is from RNAcentral. Lineage: Eukaryota; Metazoa; Arthropoda; Arachnida; Araneae; Ochyroceratidae.